CCUACGGGUGGCAGCAGUGGGGAAUAUUGGACAAUGGGCGAAAGCCUGAUCCAGCCAUGCCGCGUGUGUGAAGAAGGCCUUCGGGUUGUAAAGCACUUUCAGACGGGAAGAAAACCUUCUGUCUAAUACCCUCGAGGAAGGACAUCACCCACAGAAGAAGCACCGGCUAACUCCGUGCCAGCAGCCGCGGUAAUACGGAGGGUGCGAGCGUUAAUCGGAAUUACUGGGCGUAAAGCGCGCGCAGGCGGUCUGAUAAGCCGGUUGUGAAAGCCCCGGGCUCAACCUGGGAACGGCAUUCGGGACUGUAUGGCUAGAGUGCAGGAGAGGAAGAUAGAAUUCCCGGUGUAGCGGUGAAAUGCGUAGAGAUCGGGAGGAAUACCAGUGGCGAAGGCGGCCCUCUGGACUGAUACUGACGCUGAGGUGCGAAAGCGUGGGUAGCAAACAGGAUUAGAUACCCGUGUAGUC
RNAcentral lists this ribosomal RNA (465 nucleotides) under Vreelandella stevensii. Its description in RNAcentral is "partial 16S ribosomal RNA". It matches the Rfam family "Bacterial small subunit ribosomal RNA", at positions 338 to 795 of the family's 1533-position model. Lineage: Bacteria; Pseudomonadati; Pseudomonadota; Gammaproteobacteria; Oceanospirillales; Halomonadaceae. The record is from RNAcentral.